Long non-coding RNA from Crotalus tigris (Tiger rattlesnake), 700 nucleotides. RefSeq lists it as uncharacterized. The transcript is spliced from 3 exons. NCBI's taxonomy places the organism in Eukaryota, Metazoa, Chordata, Lepidosauria, Squamata, Viperidae. The record is from RefSeq and is a predicted model, not a curated record.
UAUCUUGGUUGAGAAAGACACCAAAGGAUUUUACAUCAACCGCUUCAUUGGAAGCCAAUGUUGGGAGGACCACCAAUUUCCUAUUCAGAAAUAUAAAAGAAAAUGAUCAAGACUGGUACAAGUAGUUCUCGACUGACCACCACAAUUGGGAUAGAAUUCCAUUGCUUAUUGAGGUAGUUAUUAAGGAGAAGUCCCCGAAGCAAUCAGAUUUGUGAGAGGUAUGCUCACCCACUUUAUUGAAAGAGAAACAGCGGACAGAAGUAAAGUGCUGUUAUCUAGUGACUUCUCAUGAAGAUUGUGAAGGAAAAUGAACCAUAGAAAAUUCAUCAGACCAAAGCAAAGCCAGUGAAAAGAGCAGUAAUCUUUCUACAGUAUAAGCUACAUAUGCUUGUGGGGGUGUGUGUGUGAAAUGUAUUUCUGAAUAAAAAGAUGGUCAGCUUCUGCUCUCUGCUUCAAAUCACUCCAUUUCAAAGACACCUGCACAGUUUGGUUCAAUGUGUAGAAUGCAAUUCUUUGUCCCCAAGUGUCCGGGGCUCCAUGAUACUAUGAAAAGCACUGUUGUAAGAUAUAGAGACUUUUUCCUGAGGCCGCAUUGAGACAGAAACGUGUAAAAUGUGCCUUGCUACAGACUUUCCUCGUCUCUUCUCUUUGAGAGGACUGAGGAUUACUUGCAAACCCACCAUGAAUUUUCAACUUAUUA